Molecule: unclassified non-coding RNA, 299 nt
Filed under: plant metagenome
Description: partial contains 5.8S ribosomal RNA, internal transcribed spacer 2, and large subunit ribosomal RNA
Rfam family: 5.8S ribosomal RNA (bases 1-105)
Source: RNAcentral
GAAAUGCGAUAAGUAAUGUGAAUUGCAGAAUUCAGUGAAUCAUCGAAUCUUUGAACGCACAUUGCGCCCCCUGGCAUUCCGGGGGGCAUGCCUGUUCGAGCGUCAUUACACCACUCAAGCCUGGCUUGGUAUUGAGCGCCGCGGCCUGCCCACGCGCUCCAAUGUCUCCGGCUGAGCCGUCCGUCUCUAAGCGUUGUGAAUAGCGAUCGCUUGCGAGGCCCGGGCGGUUCGACGCCGUUAAACCCCCCAUUUUCUAUGGUUGACCUCGGAUCAGGUAGGGAUACCCGCUGAACUUAAGC